AUCGCAAAUUUAAAAAAAUAAUAAAAAAUUGAUGUAUCGUCUUUUAAAAAUGGACGAUAUAGUUUAUAUUUGUAUCGAUAAGCUACGAUUAACGCAUAUUAUGAGUCGACAACUUAGUGUUGCGCUUAAUAAAUACUGUAUAAAAAUUAAUGGAUUCUCCUGUGGACAAUGGAAUGCUUAGGUAAGUAUUGGCAACACUUAUUCCACUCGGUUAAUAUCGUUCUACACGUCUACUACUAUAUUUUUCCAGUAGAGAAAUCGACUUCCGGCUGUAACUGUAAUUAUACGGUAUUACUAUUGUUUCCUGAAGGAUGUUUUCAUUGUUAGUCGAUAAAAAUAAACAACUGUCACGGAUUGGUUCGUGAAUCACGCGCGUGCCUAAAGGAAAAAUGUUGGCUCGAUUGUUUUUCCUUUCGAUUACGCCAUUCAACUCCAUUAAAAUCAUAGCAUUAUAUGCAAUUUUUAGGCCUAAAUUAAAAAAAAAAAGAAUUUCCAUUCGAAAUCUGUUUUACUGUCGAUAUUUAAGAUGUGAUAUAGGUAGAUAGGUGAAGUUAAAAGUCACGACCUUUAGCCUGUCUCGUGAAUUCCAUCGUAUCAUUCAAAAGGCUCAAAGUUGACAUCUCGAACGACUCUCCAUUCUGUAGACAGACUAUGACACCGUCACCCUAUCCCCUCCGUCAUUGUCUCCAUAAACAUGUCUAUAGUUAAUAGGAUGACCCAUCUCCCCUUCACACAUCAUCAAACUCGGACGAUACCAUUUGGUCGCUCGUAUUUGGUCUAUCUUUUUCAGGAGAGGGGUGAGAAUAGUUUGGAAAGUAAAGUGCCGAGGGAGACUGGAAGACAAAUACCAUUGACAAACUUAUACUCUACAGCUGGGCUGUUAUAGGAAACCACCCGUGCUCUUACUCACUACACGUUUAAUCAGUCGAUAUAAAUGCAUCGUGCGACUGAGCUGGUGGAAAGCUGAGGCUGUGUCGAUGAUUUAUAUAGAGGGUUCGCCAGGACAGCAGCCACCUAGGAACAAUGGCCGACUUGCCAUAUUUCUGGGACACUGGUGCCCCGUGUCGAGAUUUAUUUAGGCUUGGCUGGGUAAUUUUCCCAGGAAAUGUGUCCGUCAUAAACAACAUGGAAUGGCUAGCCAAUGGCAUGACUGUCACUCCGAUGCCUCGACUUCCGACCGGAGUCUUAAAAGCUUUGGCGACACCCCCAAAGGGAAACGUGAGAUGCUUGGACGGAUUUCUUUUGUAUUCAGAUCGGCGGACCACGUGAUGAACUGGAGAAAACGCCGACUUCCUCUUCCGGUGACGUAAAACAAGCACCAACUUUAAAAAAAAAGAAACUUAUUGAUGCCAAUAUACCUUUUGCGAAACGUAAGUUUAGCAUUUAAACGUAUUAACUUGAUAAUAACUCGUUGUAAACUAAUUGUAAUAUUUCUUGCGAAAUUUUUAAACAAUUUACUGCAUAAAGUAGCCAUUUAAACUUAUUUAAUUGCUGAUUAAAUGCGUGUUUUCGGUCACAAACCGCGAUCUCUUUUCGUCUUCUAAACUUAAACAAAAGUUAUAAAAAGAAAUUAAUUUUAAAGCUCUUAUCUCUAUUAAUUUCUUUUGAAAAUAUCAAAAUUAAGCUACUUCUCAUCGCAG
RNAcentral lists this long non-coding RNA (1640 nucleotides) under Androctonus crassicauda. The record is from RNAcentral. Lineage: Eukaryota; Metazoa; Arthropoda; Arachnida; Scorpiones; Buthidae.